Mustela putorius furo (domestic ferret) is the source of this 1742-nucleotide long non-coding RNA. NCBI's taxonomy places the organism in Eukaryota, Metazoa, Chordata, Mammalia, Carnivora, Mustelidae. The record is from Ensembl.
NNNNNNNNNNNNNNNNNNNNNNNNNNNNNNNNNNNNNNNNNNCCGCCGCCCGAGCCCAGCCGGGAUGGGGAGGGAGCCCGCGCCUGCCGGCGGCUGCGGAGACUCCCGCUGACGCCCCCGAGCCCGCCGCCUCCUCCGCUCGUCUGAAGAGGCGCCCGACGUCCCAACUGCUCCUGCAGUGAGAGUCCGGAAAGACCCCCGGACCCCUGAGGCCGCGCGUUCAGGACAGUUCCGUGAUGCUUCAGCUGGAGCAGGAGAAGGCUUAUCACCUUGCAACCUGGGAUCUUGCAUCCCUUUUGAAAACACUUCCCUGGGAGUCUAAGCAGCAACCAACUCAUAAGCAGUCUCCCAUGACUAUCAACUACAAGAAGGAUUUUCAGUCUUCUUUCAGUUCUUCCGCAUCGUGUUGCGCAGCUGCACUCUGCCGCCCCACAGAAUGUCCACGAACCACGUUCCCUGUAAGUACCAUACCCAGGACUCUGCCGACCUAGGCCCCUUCCCUAAAUUCACCAGGCACAGAGCACCCAGCGCCCCACCCCAACGAAAGAAUGCUGAGACUGAGACUGCUUCCCAAGCAGCAUCUUAAGAAGUUGUCCAGUUUAAAAAACGAAAAAGCAAUUAACUUUUUAUUCAACGUUCAGAAAACAUCUUAUCCCUCCCGGAAAUGUGAAUGCCUGUUGCCCAUUCCUCCAUGCAGAGUUCGUGGACUAACCUUAAAACUAAAUGGUACCAAGUUUUGAAGAAUUUUCUCUGUCAGGUAAGUAUGUUUGUGUAGAAGCAGCGUCUUUCUCUGCCCAGCUCACCCGGAUGUCUUGUGGUGGGGCUCGCCGCUGUACUGCCCGAGCAGAGCAGAAGGGACGUCAGUUAGUGACCCAAGGAAUGUCAGUGCCAGGAAGAUGGCUAUACUUUAUUCAGGAAAAUUUAUGUUAAUAAACUACACAAGGGUUGGUUAUGAUACCAACAAGUCCUAUCCUUCAGGACAUUAACUUUUUUAAAAUUUUUAUUUAUUUCAGAGAGAGAGUGAGAGAGAGCAUGAGUGGAGGGAGAGGCAGAAGAGAGGGAGAAGCAGGCUCCCUGCUGAGAAGGGAACUGGUCUGGGACUCGAUCCUGGGACUCCCGGGGAUCAUGACGUGAGCUGAAGGCAGACACCUAACUGACUGAGCCAUCCCAUUACCCCAUGCACAUGCUUUCUUAAACAAUGUCUUAAGUUAAAGGAAAUUUAUUAAAAGAGUUUUACUUAUAGACCACAUCUUAUUGGAUUAUUUUAACUUAAUUUAAUUAUUUUAAAUCCUUAUUUCAAGUAUCAGUGAAGAACAUGAUUGCAAAUCUCAUGUAUAUGUGGAUUUCUUAGGAUACUCACCAAACAUUCAAAUGUUAUCAUCCCAGGAAUUCUGGCCUCUAGGACUCUAGUUUAAUGAACAUGCCAGGUUGUUUCUGCUACAGGGUUAAUGUUCUGAGAGAAACUGCAGCAGACACGUUUUCUAUAGCAGGAGUUCUCAACUAGAGAACAUUGUCCCCUGGGACAAUGUCUGGAAGUAUUUUUGAUGGUCACAACUUGGUGGUGGGGGCGGGGGGCUUCUGGCAUCAAAAUGUGCAGAGGUCCAAGAUGCUCCUAGACAUGCUACAACGUACAGGACUCCCUUCCUCCACCCGAUCCCCCCUCCCCGGGAGACAAAGGAUUCCUGAUGCAAAAUGACAGUGGUAUUGAGGGUCAGAAAGCCCACCCUAUAGCCACACUGACC